GGGUUGUGAGGUUAAGCGACUAAGCGUACACGGUGGAUGCCCUGGCAGUCAGAGGCGAUGAAGGGCGUGCUAAUCUGCGAUAAGCGCCGGUAAGGUGAUAUGAACCGUUAUAACCGGCGAUACCCGAAUGGGGAAACCCAGUGUGACUCGUCACACUAUCAUUAACUGAAUCCAUAGGUUAAUGAGGCGAACCGGGGGAACUGAAACAUCUAAGUACCCCGAGGAAAAGAAAUCAACCGAGAUUCCCCCAGUAGCGGCGAGCGAACGGGGAGGAGCCCAGAGCCUGAAUCAGCAUGUGUGUUAGUGGAAGCGUCUGGAAAGACGCGCGAUACAGGGUGACAGCCCCGUACACAAAAGCGUAUGUGCUGUGAGCUCGAUGAGUAGGGCGGGACACGUGGUAUCCUGUCUGAAUAUGGGGGGACCAUCCUCCAAGGCUAAAUACUCCUGACUGACCGAUAGUGAACCAGUACCGUGAGGGAAAGGCGAAAAGAACCCCGGCGAGGGGAGUGAAAAAGAACCUGAAACCGUGUACGUACAAGCAGUGGGAGCACAGGUUUACCUGUGUGACUGCGUACCUUUUGUAUAAUGGGUCAGCGACUUAUAUUCUGUAGCAAGGUUAACCGAAUAGGGGAGCCGGAGGGAAACCGAGUCUUAAUUGGGCGUUAAGUUGCAGGGUAUAGACCCGAAACCCGGUGAUCUAGCCAUGGGCAGGUUGAAGGUUGGGUAACACUAACUGGAGGACCGAACCGACUAAUGUUGAAAAAUUAGCGGAUGACCUGUGGCUGGGGGUGAAAGGCCAAUCAAACCGGGAGAUAGCUGGUUCUCCCCGAAAGCUAUUUAGGUAGCGCCUCGUGAAUUCAUCUCCGGGGGUAGAGCACUGUUUCGGCUAGGG
This 892-nucleotide ribosomal RNA is filed under the name Salmonella enterica. Its description in RNAcentral is "partial 23S ribosomal RNA". It matches the Rfam family "Bacterial large subunit ribosomal RNA", at positions 1 to 924 of the family's 2925-position model. RNAcentral also lists the same sequence under 2 other names. Lineage: Bacteria; Pseudomonadati; Pseudomonadota; Gammaproteobacteria; Enterobacterales; Enterobacteriaceae. The record is from RNAcentral.